RNAcentral lists this ribosomal RNA (531 nucleotides) under Desulfomicrobium apsheronum. RNAcentral describes it as "bacterial SSU rRNA". It matches the Rfam family "Bacterial small subunit ribosomal RNA", at positions 384 to 909 of the family's 1533-position model. The record is from RNAcentral. Lineage: Bacteria; Pseudomonadati; Thermodesulfobacteriota; Desulfovibrionia; Desulfovibrionales; Desulfomicrobiaceae.
UGACGCAGCAACGCGUGUGAGGGAUGAAGGCUUUCGGGUCGUAAACCUCUGUCGGAAGGGAAGGAACGGGCAUUGGUCUAAUAGGCCUUUGUUUUGACGGUACCUUUAGAGGAAGCACCGGCUAACUCCGUGCCAGCAGCCGCGGUAAUACGGAGGGUGCAAGCGUUAUUCGGAAUUACUGGGCGUAAAGCGCACGUAGGCGGCCUUGUAAGUCAGGGGUGAAAUCCCACGGCUCAACCGUGGAACUGCCUUUGAAACUGCAGGGCUUGAAUCCUGGAGAGGGUGGCGGAAUUCCUGGUGUAGGAGUGAAAUCCGUAGAUAUCAGGAGGAACACCGGUGGCGAAGGCGGCCACCUGGACAGGUAUUGACGCUGAGGUGCGAAAGUGUGGGGAGCAAACAGGAUUAGAUACCCUGGUAGUCCACACCGUAAACGAUGGAUACUAGGUGUCGGGGACUUUAUCUUCGGUGCCCUACGUAACGCGUUAAGUAUCCCGCCUGGGGAGUACGGUCCAAGGCUGAAACUCAAAGAAA